UGAUGACGAGACGCUAAGGCGUUGAAGCAGUGUAUGUCAGACUUCCAAGAAAAGCUCUCAAUGUCACAAAUGAAAAAUGCCUGUACCAUAACCGACACAGGUGGGUAGGUAGAGUAUACUAAGGGGCGCGAGAUAACUCUCUCUAAGGAACUCGGCAAAAUGACUCCGUAACUUCGGGAGAAGGAGUGCCUUAUUUAUAAGGUUGCAAUAACAAGAUCCAAGCAACUGUUUAUCAAAAACACAGGUCUCCGCUAAGUCGUAAGACGAUGUAUGGGGGCUGACGCCUGCCCAGUGCCAGAAGGUUAAAGAAGUUGGUUAGUGUAUGCGAAGCUGAUGACUGAAGCCCUGGUGAACGGCGGCCGUAACAAUAACGGUCCUAAGGUAGCGAAAUUCCUUGUCGGGUAAGUUCCGACCCGCACGAAAGGCGUAAUGAUUUGGAUACUGUCUCGGAGAGAGGCUCGGUGAAAUAGACUUGUCUGUGAAGAUGCGGACUACCUGCACCAGGACAGAAAGACCCUAUGAAGCUUUACUGUAACUUGAAAUUGGAAUUGGACUUUGCUUGCGCAGUAUAGGUGGGAAGCGUUGAAAAUAUUCUUGCGGGAGUAUUGGAGCUAUCAGUGAGAUACCACUCUUGUAAUGUUAGAUUUCUAACUUUGAACCAUAAUCUGGUCAAAGAACAGUUUCAGGUGGGCAGUUUGACUGGGGCGGUCGCCUCCCAAAUGGUAACGGAGGCGUACAAAGGUUUCCUCUGAACGGAUAGAAAUCGUAUCUAGAGUGUAAAGGCAUAAGGAAGCUUGACUGUGAGGCCUACAAGUCGAGCAGGGACGAAAGUCGGUCUUAGUGAUCUGACGGUACUGAGUGGAAAGGCCGUCACUCAACGGAUAAAAGUUACUCUAGGAUAACAGGCUGAUCUCCCCCAAGAGUUCACAUCGGCGGGGAGGUUUGGCACCUCGAUGUCGGCUCAUCGCAUCCUGGGGCGGUAGUACGUCCCAAGGGUUGGGCUGUUCGCCCAUGAAAGCGGUACGCGAGCUGGGUUCAGAACGUCGUGAGACAGUUCGGUCCAUAUCCGGUGUAGGCGCUAGAGUAUUGAGAGGAGCCUUCUUUAGUACGAGAGGACCGAGAAGGACACACCGCUGGUGUACCAGUUAUCGUGCCAACGGUAAACGCUGGGUAGCUAUGUGUGGAGUGGAUAACCGCUGAAAGCAUCUAAGUGGGAAGCCCACCUCGAGAUGAGUAUUCUCAU
This 1243-nucleotide ribosomal RNA is filed under the name metagenome. RNAcentral describes it as "bacterial LSU rRNA". It matches the Rfam family "Bacterial large subunit ribosomal RNA", at positions 1564 to 2817 of the family's 2925-position model. The record is from RNAcentral.